RNAcentral lists this transfer RNA (70 nucleotides) under Leptalpheus forceps. RNAcentral's name for it is "tRNA-Ser". It matches the Rfam family "tRNA". Rfam says of the family: Transfer RNA (tRNA) molecules are approximately 80 nucleotides in length. The record is from RNAcentral. Lineage: Eukaryota; Metazoa; Arthropoda; Malacostraca; Decapoda; Alpheidae.
GAUUAUUUAACUUUAAGGAAAGUAAGUAUUUUGAAAGUACCUAAAAAGAGUUCGACUCUCUUAAUAAUCU